GUCUACAGCCAUACCACCCUGAACGCGCCCGAUCUCGUCUGAUCUUGGAAGGAACCAGGAAUUCCAUGCUGCAUCUCACCUUGGUGGUUGUAGGUC
This is a ribosomal RNA of Ochotona princeps (American pika), 96 nucleotides long. NCBI's taxonomy places the organism in Eukaryota, Metazoa, Chordata, Mammalia, Lagomorpha, Ochotonidae. The record is from Ensembl.